UUCUAGAUCCCCAAUUUGUAUGUGAUGAUGAAGAAUUUUAUUAUGAUCCGACUAGACAAGAGUGUGUGGAAUACGUGGAAGAACUUGAUGACUUCUACUGUGAAAUCGACCAUCACUGCCGUAAUUUGAAAUAUGCAAACUGCACUGAGAAUAUGUGUGUCUGUAAACCAAAAUAUGAGAACAUCGGAGGUGUCUGUCUUGGGUACAACGGAGCUGUCUGUGGAGAAGUUUCCGACUGUAUAGUGACCAACUCGAUUUGUAAUCAGACAUGUCAGUGUCCCGAAAAUCAUUACCUAGGAGGACACACUUGCUGGAAAUUUGCCGAGAAGUUAAGUGAUACCU
Microplitis mediator is the source of this 342-nucleotide long non-coding RNA. RefSeq lists it as uncharacterized. NCBI's taxonomy places the organism in Eukaryota, Metazoa, Arthropoda, Insecta, Hymenoptera, Braconidae. The record is from RefSeq and is a predicted model, not a curated record. The transcript has 3 exons.